AUCCUUGGGUUCAUGAGCGUGAGGAUUCAUGCUCUAUGCCUGAGAUGUGCCUCCUUCUAACCCUGUUACCACAUGGGUGCGCACAUUACCAGUCUGUUG
Octodon degus (degu) is the source of this 99-nucleotide small nucleolar RNA. RefSeq annotates it as small nucleolar RNA U13. The transcript has a single exon. Lineage: Eukaryota; Metazoa; Chordata; Mammalia; Rodentia; Octodontidae. The record is from RefSeq and is a predicted model, not a curated record.